UAAGAGUUUGAUCCUGGCUCAGAUUGAACGCUGGCGGCAUGCUUUACACAUGCAAGUCGGACGGCAGCACAGGGAAGCUUGCUUCUCGGGUGGCGAGUGGCGAACGGGUGAGUAACAUAUCGGAACGUACCGGGUAGCGGGGGAUAACUGAUCGAAAGAUCAGCUAAUACCGCAUACGUCUUGAGAGGGAAAGCAGGGGACCUUCGGGCCUUGCGCUAUCCGAGCGGCCGAUAUCUGAUUAGCUGGUUGGCGGGUAAAGGCCCACCAAGGCGACGAUCAGUAGCGGGUCUGAGAGGAUGAUCCGCCACACUGGGACUGAGACACGGCCCAGACUCCUACGGGAGGCAGCAGUGGGGAAUUUUGGACAAUGGGCGCAAGCCUGAUCCAGCCAUGCCGCGUGUCUGAAGAAGGCCUUCGGUUGUAAAGGACUUUUGUCAGGGAAGAAAAGGCCGUUGCCAAUAUCGGCGGCCGAUGACGGUACCUGAAGAAUAAGCACCGGCUAACUACGUGCCAGCAGCCGCGGUAAUACGUAGGGUGCGAGCGUUAAUCGGAAUUACUGGGCGUAAAGCGGGCGCAGACGGUUACUUAAGCAGGAUGUGAAAUCCCGGGCUCAACCCGGGAACUGCGUUCUGAACUGGGUGACUCGAGUGUGUCAGAGGGAGGUGGAAUUCCACGUGUAGCAGUGAAAUGCGUAGAGAUGUGGAGGAAUACCGAUGGCGAAGGCAGCCUCCUGGGAUAACACUGACGUUCAUGUCCGAAAGCGUGGGUAGCAAACAGGAUUAGAUACCCUGGUAGUCCACGCCCUAAACGAUGUCAAUUAGCUGUUGGGCAACUUGAUUGCUUGGUAGCGUAGCUAACGCGUGAAAUUGACCGCCUGGGGAGUACGGUCGCAAGAUUAAAACUCAAAGGAAUUGACGGGGACCCGCACAAGCGGUGGAUGAUGUGGAUUAAUUCGAUGCAACGCGAAGAACCUUACCUGGUUUUGACAUGUGCGGAAUCCUCCGGAGACGGAGGAGUGCCUUCGGGAGCCGUAACACAGGUGCUGCAUGGCUGUCGUCAGCUCGUGUCGUGAGAUGUUGGGUUAAGUCCCGCAACGAGCGCAACCCUUGUCAUUAGUUGCCAUCAUUCGGUUGGGCACUCUAAUGAGACUGCCGGUGACAAGCCGGAGGAAGGUGGGGAUGACGUCAAGUCCUCAUGGCCCUUAUGACCAGGGCUUCACACGUCAUACAAUGGUCGGUACAGAGGGUAGCCAAGCCGCGAGGCGGAGCCAAUCUCACAAAACCGAUCGUAGUCCGGAUUGCACUCUGCAACUCGAGUGCAUGAAGUCGGAAUCGCUAGUAAUCGCAGGUCAGCAUACUGCGGUGAAUACGUUCCCGGGUCUUGUACACACCGCCCGUCACACCAUGGGAGUGGGGGAUACCAGAAGUAGGUAGGGUAACCGCAAGGAGUCCGCUUACCACGGUAUGCUUCAUGACUGGGGUGAAGUCGUAACAAGGUAGCCGUAGGGGAACCUGCGGCUGGAUCACCUCCUUU
RNAcentral lists this ribosomal RNA (1533 nucleotides) under Neisseria gonorrhoeae. RNAcentral's name for it is "bacterial SSU rRNA". It matches the Rfam family "Bacterial small subunit ribosomal RNA". The record is from RNAcentral. Lineage: Bacteria; Pseudomonadati; Pseudomonadota; Betaproteobacteria; Neisseriales; Neisseriaceae.